GAUGAACGCUGGCGGCGUGCCUAAUACAUGCCAGUCGAGCGAACGGACGAGAAGCUUGCUUCUCUGAUGUUAGCGGCGGACGGGUGAGUAACACGUGGAUAACCUACCUAUAAGACUGGGAUAACUUCGGGAAACCGGAGCUAAUACCGGAUAAUAUUUUGAACCGCAUGGUUCAAAAGUGAAAGACGGUCUUGCUGUCACUUAUAGAUGGAUCCGCGCUGUAUUAGCUAGUUGGUAAGGUAACGGCUUACCAAGGCAACGAUGCAUAGCCGACCUGAGAGGGUGAUCGGCCACACUGGAACUGAGACACGGUCCAGACUCCUACGGGAGGCAGCAGUAGGGAAUCUUCCGCAAUAGGCGAAAGCCUGACGGAGCAACGCCGCGUGAGUGAUGAAGGUCUUCGGAUCGUAAAACUCUGUUAUUAGGGAAGAACAUAUGUGUAAGUAACUGUGCACAUCUUGACGGUACCUAAUCAGAAAGCCACGGCUAACUACGUG
Molecule: ribosomal RNA, 497 nt
Filed under: uncultured bacterium
Lineage: Bacteria
Description: partial 16S ribosomal RNA
Rfam family: Bacterial small subunit ribosomal RNA
Source: RNAcentral